Molecule: ribosomal RNA, 484 nt
Filed under: uncultured bacterium
Lineage: Bacteria
Description: partial 16S ribosomal RNA
Rfam family: Bacterial small subunit ribosomal RNA
Source: RNAcentral
AUUGAACGCUAGCGGGAUGCUUUACACAUGCAAGUCGAACGGCAGCGCGGACUUCGGUCUGGCGGCGAGUGGCGAACGGGUGAGUAAUGUAUCGGAACGUGCCCAGUAGCGGGGGAUAACUACGCGAAAGCGUAGCUAAUACCGCAUACGCCCUACGGGGGAAAGCAGGGGAUCGUAAGACCUUGCACUAUUGGAGCGGCCGAUAUCGGAUUAGCUAGUUGGUGAGGUAACGGCUCACCAAGGCGACGAUCCGUAGCUGGUUUGAGAGGACGACCAGCCACACUGGGACUGAGACACGGCCCAGACUCCUACGGGAGGCAGCAGUGGGGAAUUUUGGACAAUGGGGGCAACCCUGAUCCAGCCAUCCCGCGUGUGCGAUGAAGGCCUUCGGGUUGUAAAGCACUUUUGGCAGGAAAGAAACGUCGCGGGCUAAUACCCCGUGGAACUGACGGUACCUGCAGAAUAAGCACCGGCCAACUACGUG